UCCACCCUAAGUGGGUAAGCUCAGAGGUAACCAUCUCUCCUAAUUUCACAGAAGCGACUAAAGGCUAAAAUAUCUUGCCCGCAAUGGUAUAUUUAACGGUCCUGCAAUCUCAGGAUUACAUGAUUUCAUAGCUGUUCGACCGACUGUUCUUUGAUUUAUCUCUCUCUGUGUGUGUGUCUAUAUAUAUGCAAAUAUAUCUAUAUAUACAAACACACACACACACAUAUACAUAUAUAUGUAUAUACAUAUGUAUAUACAUAUAUAUAUAUAUACAUAUGUAUGUAUGUAUGUAUGUAUAUAUAUAUGUAUGUAUAUAUGUACGUAUGUAUGUAUGUAU
Molecule: long non-coding RNA, 337 nt
Filed under: Elaeis guineensis (African oil palm)
Lineage: Eukaryota; Viridiplantae; Streptophyta; Magnoliopsida; Arecales; Arecaceae
Description: long non-coding RNA (EGUI_LNC000697)
Source: RNAcentral